GCGGGGGUAGCCAAGUCAGGUCAAAGGCGUACGGUUCAGGGCCGUAUCCCGUAGGGGUUCGGGGGUUCGAAUCCCCUCCCCCGCACCA
RNAcentral lists this transfer RNA (88 nucleotides) under Hadesarchaea archaeon. RNAcentral describes it as "tRNA-Leu". It matches the Rfam family "tRNA". From Rfam's summary of the family: Transfer RNA (tRNA) molecules are approximately 80 nucleotides in length. Their secondary structure includes four short double-helical elements and three loops (D, anti-codon, and T loops). Lineage: Archaea; Methanobacteriati; Hadarchaeota (SeqCode); Hadarchaeia (SeqCode). RNAcentral also lists the same sequence under 1 other name. The record is from RNAcentral.